UCCUGUAUACCCUUUCUACAGAGUUGC
This 27-nucleotide non-coding RNA is filed under the name Mus musculus (house mouse). The record is from RNAcentral. Lineage: Eukaryota; Metazoa; Chordata; Mammalia; Rodentia; Muridae.